GGCGAACGCUGGCGGCGUGCCUAAUACAUGCAAGUCGAGCGGAUUGAAGGGAGCUUGCUCCCUGAUAUUAGCGGCGGACGGGUGAGUAACACGUGGGCAACCUGCCCUGCAGAUGGGGAUAACUCCGGGAAACCGGGGCUAAUACCGAAUAAUCGGUUCUUCCGCAUGGAAGAACUCUGAAAGACGGUUUCGGCUGUCACUGCAGGAUGGGCCCGCGGCGCAUUAGCUAGUUGGUGGGGUAACGGCCUACCAAGGCGACGAUGCGUAGCCGACCUGAGAGGGUGAUCGGCCACACUGGGACUGAGACACGGCCCAG
RNAcentral lists this ribosomal RNA (316 nucleotides) under uncultured bacterium. Its description in RNAcentral is "bacterial SSU rRNA". It matches the Rfam family "Bacterial small subunit ribosomal RNA", at positions 28 to 334 of the family's 1533-position model. The record is from RNAcentral.